GCAAGUCGAACGAGAAAGCUCUUCGGGGUGAGUACAGUGGCGCACGGGUGAGUAACGCGUAGAUGAUGUGCCUUUUAGUUGGGGACAACCUCGGGAAACCGGGGCUAAUACCGAAUAAGCUUAGUUGACUUAAAAGAUACUAAGGAAAGGGGGCUUCGGCUCUCGCUAAGAGAUCGGUCUGCGUAGCAUUAGCUUGUUGGUGGGGUAAUGGCCUACCAAGGCAACGAUGCUUAACUGGUCUGAGAGGAUGAUC
RNAcentral lists this ribosomal RNA (253 nucleotides) under uncultured bacterium. RNAcentral describes it as "partial 16S ribosomal RNA". It matches the Rfam family "Bacterial small subunit ribosomal RNA", at positions 57 to 305 of the family's 1533-position model. The record is from RNAcentral.